This 466-nucleotide ribosomal RNA is filed under the name uncultured bacterium. RNAcentral's name for it is "partial 16S ribosomal RNA". It matches the Rfam family "Bacterial small subunit ribosomal RNA", at positions 28 to 505 of the family's 1533-position model. The record is from RNAcentral.
GACGAACGCUGGCGGCGUGCUUAACACAUGCAAGUCGAACGGAAAGGCCCUGCUUUUGUGGGGUGCUCGAGUGGCGAACGGGUGAGUAACACGUGAGUAACCUGCCCUUGACUUUGGGAUAACUUCAGGAAACUGGGGCUAAUACCGGAUAGGAGCUCCUGCUGCAUGGUGGGGGUUGGAAAGUUUCGGCGGUUGGGGAUGGACUCGCGGCUUAUCAGCUUGUUGGUGGGGUAGUGGCUUACCAAGGCUUUGACGGGUAGCCGGCCUGAGAGGGUGACCGGACAAAUGGGGACUGAGUUAGGCCCCAGACCCCAGGGGGGGGCAGCGGUGGGAAUUUUUGAACAGGGGGGGGAGCCUUACUGCAGCAACCCGGGGUGGGGGAUGGCGCCUUUGGGGUGGAAAACCGUUUUCCCUUGGGACGAGGCGUGAGGGACGGUAAUGGUGAAGGAAGGGCCGGGGAACGCCC